AGAGUUUGAUCCUGGCUCAGGAUGAACGCUAGCGGCAGGCCUAAUACAUGCAAGUCGAACGGAUGUAGCAAUACAUUAGUGGCGCACGGGUGCGUAACGCGUAUGCAACCUACCUUUCAGUGGGGGAUAGCCCGGGGAAACCCGGAUUAAUACCGCAUAAGAUAGUUGACUGGCAUCAGUUAAUUAUGAAACAUUUAUGGCUGAAAGAUGGGCAUGCGUUAGAUUAGCUAGUUGGUGAGGUAGCAGCUCACCAAGGCGAUGAUCUAUAGGGGUUCUGAGAGGAAGAUCCCCCACACUGGUACUGAGACAGGGACCAGACUCCUACGGGAGGCAGCAGUAGGGAAUAUUGGGCAAUGGAGGCAACUCUGACCCAGCCAUGCCGCGUGCAGGAAGAAGGCCUUCUGGGUUGUAAACUGCUUUUGGAAGUGAACAAAAAGACACUGCGGUGUAAAUUGAGUGUAGCUUCAGAAUAAGCACCGGCUAACUCCGUGCCAGCAGCCGCGGUAAUACGGAGGGUGCAAGCGUUGUCCGGAUUUAUUGGGUUUAAAGGGUGCGUAGGCGGCUACUUAAGUCAGGGGUGAAAGACGAUUGCUUAACAAUCGCAGUGCCUUUGAUACUGAGUAGCUUGAGUACAGAUGAGGCAGGCGGAAUGGGUGGUGUAGCGGUGAAAUGCAUAGAUACCAUCCAGAACACCGAUUGCGAAGGCAGCCUGCUAAACUGUAACUGACGCUGAGGCACGAAAGCGUGGGGAUCGAACAGGAUUAGAUACCCUAGUAGUCC
This 780-nucleotide ribosomal RNA is filed under the name uncultured bacterium. Its description in RNAcentral is "bacterial SSU rRNA". It matches the Rfam family "Bacterial small subunit ribosomal RNA", at positions 8 to 796 of the family's 1533-position model. The record is from RNAcentral.